Lolium perenne is the source of this 2086-nucleotide long non-coding RNA. RefSeq lists it as uncharacterized. NCBI's taxonomy places the organism in Eukaryota, Viridiplantae, Streptophyta, Magnoliopsida, Poales, Poaceae. The record is from RefSeq and is a predicted model, not a curated record.
CCGCCUCUUGGGCGCUCACCUCCUCCCCCAUUCCUUCUGGCCGCCCCCCUUCCUUGCCGACCUGUAGCGCCGUCUUCGCCUCUUGGGCACCCACCUCGGGCACGGAGGAGGCGCCGCCCGUGAGUGAGAGCACCUCGCGGCCGCGGGCUGCACACACCGACCAUGGAGGAUGCCCCGUCCCUGUCGCCAGUAGCAUCCCUCGCUGCCUGGAUUCAUCGCGGUGAUGCCGGUCUCAUGUCCGCGUCUCCGGCGACGGCGUCGUUGUUUCCUGCUGGCCGGCAGCGUCCUUGUGGUCACGUCUACAUCCUCCUCGUUCACCAUCACAUCCUUGUUAUCACCGCCAACAUCACUAGUCUCCGGACACAAGACCUCCUUCACUGCUUCAUCCUUGCUUCUGCUAGAUACUCCUGAGGGUAAGGUAUGCAUUUCUGCGCAGUUAUUUCUGACCAAAUUGUGUAGCAGUCGGUAAUGUUACAUGCAUUUUUUGUGCUACAAAGUACAUGGUGUGAAGCGUAGUUGAAUUAGUAGAUAGAACAUGGAACCCAACCAACUAUGUUAAUGUAACGUUUUUGAUGCAAAUGGAACAACUUUUUCCAUCAGGAACAAGGCCCAUCAGCAUUUGUUUUGUGUUACAUGUACUAGUUGAAUUAGUGGAUGGAACCAAUUAUGUCCAUGCAACUAUUUUUUGCAGCAGAUGUAACCAAUGUUUCAUUAGGUGUAAGGUCGAUCAGCAUUUGUUUUUGUGUUACUUGCAGUAGUUAAAUUAGUGGAUGGACAAAUUAUGUCCAUGUAACCUCUUUUUGCAGCAGAUGGAACCAAUUUUUCAUUAGUUGUAAGGCCGAUCAACAUUUGUUUUGCGUUACAUGCAGUAGGCUAGCACAGACAGUGAUAGCAGCCACAACACAUUGGUAAUUGAGUAGUAAACAGUGCUCUGGAACACACACAUAUUGGUUAUUUAUAUCACCCUGUACCUGUCAUUUCGUACUUCCAGUCACUAGGAUUUGCCUUGUGUCUUGGUAAGGGAAGUUCAAGAAGUAAUUCUGGAGCCUAGAUGGUUCAUCAAUGCUUUCCGGUUGAUAGCAACAUGCAGCGAUCUUACUUGCCAGGACUCUUCUGGGUGCUCACCAUAUUUUCUAAUCAACUUGUCUUGAUAUGUAUUUGACCUACACCAACACAUAACACUCUAGGCUGUGGCCUGAAUUUCAGUGAGAAACUUGGUUGAAGAUUAUGAUCACCAGAAAACAAAGCUUGGCUCACCUCACGCGGUGGAGGAGACACUGGAGGUUAUCUCGGUUGCAGCCCAGGAUGUGACCUUGUCAGUUAGGAGAAUGAGUAGCUCCAUGGCAAACUAGGAGCAGAAACGGUUGAAUUCAGCGCCUUGAAAUCUGGAGAAGUCCCAGGUUUCUGGCAAGGUCGGCAAGACGUCAGCUAGCUCACGGCAAGACGGCGGGGUUCUGGCAAGGUUGGCAAGACUUCGGAGAACACAUAGCAAGAUGACGGUGAACUCACGGCAAGACGGUGGGGUUCCAGCAAGGUCGGCAAAACUGGCGACGUACACCGGUGAGACCGGUAGUAUUCCGGCGAGUUACAUUUAACCCGUAAAGAAUAAUCUACCUAGUUCUUCUUCACCCAAGUCGUGAUACAUUGGCAUGUAUUUUUUUUCGACCGCUCUGGCUAAAGCACGGACAUAUAACUACUCUAGCAUCCUACUGGAUGUAACUCUAACUCUUGUUUGGAUGUAACAAAGUAGUUGCAUCAGAUCAGGCUAGAACUUUUUUGCAACAAUGUAACAGGUGGUACAGGAGCUCCACCGAUGUGUCUCCCAUCCGCAAUUCUUUCUGGAAACAAUAAUUUUUUUGAUGUAUUUUAUUCCACACACGGGUUGAAGGAGAACUCGAGAAGGUACGGGGGUUGUUGGAUGGAAGAAAGAAGGGGGCGCUAGUUCCCGCGCGUCCGUCCAAACUUAUCUCCAAUCUUUCUCGUUGUUCUUCUCCUUUUCUUGAACACGUGAGAUGCAGAUGUAACAUAUAUGUGUUCUUUUUUCUGUUAUUCCCCUCCUCUCCCGUUAAGAUUCAGAUGUAACAGC